Molecule: long non-coding RNA, 930 nt
Filed under: Struthio camelus australis
Lineage: Eukaryota; Metazoa; Chordata; Aves; Struthioniformes; Struthionidae
Description: lncRNA (ENSSCUG00000015342.1)
Source: RNAcentral
CUGGAUUAACUUCCUCUGCUUAAAUGGGUUGAAUUGAUUUGGUAUAUGGCCUGAUGAGCCAGCUGAUGUAGGCUUGUAUAGCUCCGCUCAAGCAAUAUUGAGUAACUUCCUCUUCAGCCUCCAGGGCCCAAAUCUCGGGGUUAAGAUUCUAGAUUUAUGUUUCUUUUCAGUAAUGUUUCCUGUCUGACUUUGGCUCCGAAAAGGAUAAUCCUACAGGAUAUGAGCAGAUGGGGAAAGCAGCAAAAUCCGGGGAUUCCUGCUACACCUCUCACUCACCCGCCGCUAAGCUGCAUUUUGGAAGCCUGGCCUCCAGAUAUCCUGGCUCAAGACAUCCUGAGAUGUGUCACCCUCCAGUGAAAACAGUGUCUACCAUUAACUUCAGUAGAGAAAUGGCCCUUGGAGGAAGAAUAUGUGCACUUCUGUUUCUCUGCUGUUGGUGGGAAAGCGCUAUUUGAAAGGAUGAAUGUGUUACGUCUCUCACUUCAGAUUGGUUCAGCGUCACAUUUCUGGCUGUAUGAAAAAUCUGUACCCUUGCACAAAAGAGGCUAUUACAUUCAAAAGUUUUAAGUAUUAACAAAAUAUUUCAGCAGCUGAUGGCUUCCAUGAUGGGAAUUUUAAAUGAAUGGACAGGAAAACAAUUACCCAAAAAGCUUCAGAAGAGAAGAGUUACCUUGGCUCUCAAGUAGCCCUUGUUUUUGAAAACUUUUGAAAACUGUUUACGAGACCUGCAAGCAAAAAGAGGAAAACUGGAGUUGAAAUGUAGCAAAGAGUGCAAAACGUGUAUUUCUUCUCAUCCCCUGGUAUGAACAUACAGAUAACCUAUUGAUUGAUUAGCUUAUUUCUGUGAAUUUGGACAAAAUGGGGAAGAAGUGAAUAAUGAGGAAACAUUCAUUUUGUGUUUGAUUUACAAAACAAGAAAACUAAGUAACG